This 114-nucleotide ribosomal RNA is filed under the name Micromonospora tulbaghiae. RNAcentral's name for it is "partial 16S rRNA. Bacterial SSU". It matches the Rfam family "Bacterial small subunit ribosomal RNA", at positions 1 to 115 of the family's 1533-position model. The record is from RNAcentral. Lineage: Bacteria; Bacillati; Actinomycetota; Actinomycetes; Micromonosporales; Micromonosporaceae.
UUUUGUUGGAGAGUUUGAUCCUGGCUCAGGACGAACGCUGGCGGCGUGCUUAACACAUGCAAGUCGAGCGGAAAGGCCCUUCGGGGUACUCGAGCGGCGAACGGGUGAGUAACA